AACAAAGUCUUAGCAACGAACACCCGCGUUUCGCUAAUCUCUCCCGAUUGAACAGAGAACUUUGAUUUUUCCUCAAAAUUCUCUCUUUCAUCAUAAAAACCUCUAUUUCUCUCUUUAAUUCUUCCUCAUUUCUCACCAUCUCUCAUUUGUGCUCUCUUCACUAACUCGGUGGCCUGACUCGCCGGGUCACGGAUCGCAAUGACUCGGCGUUGCUCUCACUGCAGCAACAAUGGCCAUAACUCCCGAACCUGCCCCUCCCGCGCCGGUGGCGGCGGUGGCAGUGGCGCAGGUGUCAAGCUCUUUGGGGUUAGGCUCACCGACGGCUCUUUCAUCAAGAAAAGCGCCAGCAUGGGUAACCUCUCUGUACAUUACCAUAGUUCUUCUUCCGCCGCCGCCUCUCCCAAUCCCGACUCUCCUAACUCCGAUCCCGUUCAUGAUUCCGAUGGCUUUUUAUCCGAUGAUCCUGCCCAUGCAUCCUGCUCCGCUAAUCGCCGGGCUGAAAGGAAGAAAGGUGUUCCAUGGACAGAGGAGGAGCAUCGAUUGUUCUUAGUUGGUCUUCAGAAACUGGGGAAAGGAGACUGGCGUGGGAUUUCUCGGAAUUUUGUUAUAACAAGAACUCCAACUCAGGUGGCAAGCCAUGCUCAGAAGUAUUUCAUACGACAGAGUAAUGCAACGAGAAGAAAGCGAAGAUCGAGCCUUUUUGACAUGGUUCCUGAAAUGGCAACAGAUCCGCUACCUGUGCCAGAAGAUGAGAUUUUACAUGCUUCUCAGACAAAAGAAACAGAAAACUCUAAUUCACAACCUUCACUAAAUCUCUCACUUAACUCAGAGUUCCAUAUGAUGGAAACUACAGUAGAAGAAAAUGGAAAAGAACUCCAUGUACCUAAGAUGGAAGUUGCUGGUUUUCCCCCUGUGAUACCAGGAUUCAUCCCAGCUUAUAUGCCUGUACCUUUCCCUAUUUGGGCACCAAGUUCAUUCCCAAUGGAAGAAGAAAAUGUUGUAGAAACGUGUCAUCAUGAGGUCCUAAAGCCAAUUCCAGUUGUGCCAACGGAGCCAGUCAAUGUUGAUGAACUAGUUGGCAUGUCUCAACUCACUCUGCGAGAGUAUGAAAGAGAGCGUAGAGAGCCUUCACCUCUGUCCUUAAAAUUGAUAGGUGAGCGCUCAAGACAGUCGGCGUUCCAUCCAAAUGCUCCAGUCAGUCGUUCAGAGUUAAUCAAGGAUGAUACUGAUACAAUCUAAGCUCAUUGAAUCAAGAAGGGACCAGUUUUCAUGCAUCAUGAGCUUUUCUUGCAGGUUGAAACACAAACGAAGCUGACUCAGUUGAACUAGCUACAAUCUUCACCCAGGCAACAACAGGAGGGGAAAGAUUGGAGUUCUUGCAGCCUUGCUGAAGCUAUCCUUCAAUAACCAGAAAUGGGGUUAGGUUCAUUUCUUUGUUAAAUCAAUUUGGGAUCAACUGUUUUUGUCCACACACACCCCUUGUGCCCCAUGUAUGAACAUAUGGACUUGAAUGAAUAUUGAAUAAUGAACACUGGAAUAAGAGAAUCUAGUUUCCUACAAAAAUGGACCCCACUGGUUUUUAUGUUUUCUAAUAGUAAAAAUAGGAAGGAAUGACGAUUUUACAUUUUUAUUUUAACAAAAGUUAAAAGAAUAUUCAAGUGCUGAAAUCUAAACCGUCCACUUCUUUCUGGAUUUAACUUUCUACAGUUAAGUCCUUGAUAGCUAAGCAUGAUGAAGAAUUCUUUUUUAGUUCAACAUUUUGGUAGAAAACGAAGAACUCUUUUUUAGUUCAAUAUGUUGGUAGUUGAAGAUUGGAAGAUUUUAUUCUUUGCCAAGAUUUUUCAUUACUUUUUUCAUAUUAAAAGCCACGAAAACUUGUCAUGGCUAACAUUAGAAAUUAGACCUAAAGCGACCCUCAAACAAGCACACCACCUGCCACUCGUAUUCUAUGUUGGUACUGCCUUACAUAAAGGCGGCAGCUGCCUAUAAAAGCCAAGUUUUCCUUGUUUCUACACAUAUUGUUUCAUCUUAAUUUAUGUUUUUAAUUUAGAAUUUUGAUUUAAUAAAUCUGUUAAUGUUUUUCUCUUAAGUGUUUACUUUAUCUAGCCAGGUUUUACCAAAAAAACUAGAAGCCAUGCCACAUACAACUAGAUUUUGAUCCAGAGAAGAAUGCAUGAUUUUGCGGACGAUAUGUCGUCUUGACAUUGGAUGUUUGGAUGGCAUUAGUCUUGAAUUGAUUCUGAUUAUGGUUUCCAAUUUUUGGUCAUGCAACAUCGUGGAGAUUGCCAUGUUUGUUCUCCCUUCUACCACGUGUUGAUGCAGCAAAAACUCCUCCGUAGUUAUAUCUCUUUUUCUUACCCUAACUUAUAUUUAUAAGUUGUGUCGUUUCAGUUUUAUGAUGGGUGAUUUCGUUGAUUUCCAAAGUCAAGUGUUUAUCACCAACAACUCCAGUGAAUCCUUAACAGACGACGACGUCUACACCAAGAGGUCAAAGACCCUUGUAGGAAUAACGGGGGAUCGAUGAGUGCAUUGGACAAUGGACGUAGUAAUCUUGAGUUUUUGUGGGGUUUUGGAUUAGAUAAGGUAUGUAGAACUGCAAUUAAAGAUGGCAUCACCAUAUGUGUUAUAUUUCAAGUUGGAUGGAAAGAUGAUGGGUUGGUGGAGGAAGAUUUUCAGCUGGUUCAUUAUUUUGGCUGGUUUGAUGGGGACGGAAGUUUUUGGUUUGGUUCUUCUCUCAGCUUGCCAGAUAAUUUUUGCCAACUGUGGUGACUCGAGCAUUGCUUUGUUGUGGGAGUCAAAUCAGCCCUUGACGGCUGAUCACAAGAUCAGUUGGCUAGAUGAAUAUUUAUAUGAUAGACUUGUAAGGGAAAAGCGAGAGUUUUGUUUGUUGGCUGCCCUAGGGUCGAAAGGAGGGCUGGCUAUGACCAGAGCAAUAGGUGAUCAUUAGGUAAAACCAUGGAUCAUAUGGGAGCCGGAGGUCACAUUUAUGUCAAGGACUAAAGUAUAUGAGUGUUUGAUUUUGGCAAGUGAUGGAGUAUGGGGUGUCUUGUCUAAUGAUGACGAAGAUGGUGUGCAGCAUACCAAGGAGGCAAUGCAGAAAGUUGGUGUUUAGUGGAACUCACGAUGCAAUUUCUCCACGACAAUAUGCUGCAAAUCAAUUUCGCAAGGUAGCCAGUCAUUUCAGUGGUGACAACAUCUCCAGUUAUUGUGAUUGACCUAAAGCACCAAAUGAAGGAGCGUCAGCCUGAAAGUCCAUAAAGGAUGGAUGGGCAGACCCCAGAAGCAUGGUGAUCUUUUCUAGAAACUGGACAUAUACUUGGGCUGUAAAUAGUUGUACAAACGCUGCCAGCUCCUUUACCAUAUCUUUCUAGUUUGUUAGAGAAACUUCCUAUGUAUUUUUCUACGCACCUAGUUCCAACCUUGUAUACAAUUUUUUUCAUGCAAUAUGCAUCAACCAUACCCAGGUCCGCUAGUGUUGUGUUUCUUUUCAUUAUUUCAUUCUAAGCAAAUGAAUUUGUUGCUUCUAUGAAUAAUUAGCGAACUCUUUACAAUA
Molecule: RNA transcript, 3553 nt
Organism: Cucumis sativus (cucumber)
Lineage: Eukaryota; Viridiplantae; Streptophyta; Magnoliopsida; Cucurbitales; Cucurbitaceae
Gene name: transcription factor MYBS3
Exons: 7
Source: RefSeq, a predicted model, not a curated record